Molecule: transfer RNA, 88 nt
Filed under: Sphingomonas sp. R1
Lineage: Bacteria; Pseudomonadati; Pseudomonadota; Alphaproteobacteria; Sphingomonadales; Sphingomonadaceae
Description: tRNA-OTHER
Source: RNAcentral
GUCAUCGUGGCGGAAUUGGUAGACGCACCAUGAGGAUGGUCCCCGAUCGUUGAUCGCGGGUGCCGGGUUCAAGUCCUGGUCGAUGGCC